This 903-nucleotide long non-coding RNA is filed under the name Homo sapiens (human). Its description in RNAcentral is "HSALNT0380701". Lineage: Eukaryota; Metazoa; Chordata; Mammalia; Primates; Hominidae. The record is from RNAcentral.
CCAAAAGGAAAGAAUUCCACCUCAUCCCAUUUUAAAAACAUAUUUCAAUAAGCGCAAAUGCUUUCUUUUUCUUUUUUUUUUUUGAAGAUGUGAAAUCUUGUACUGGUCGUUGGUUGUUUCUCUUUCAGUACAAUCAGAAAAUAGUGGAAUACUGAAUUAUGGGAAGCUUCCAUUAUCUCAGGUGUCAACAUUCCAUAGGUUGGUGUGGGGGCAGUUUUUAUGUUCUAUAAUACAAAGCAUACUAAAUGGAAUAAAUGGAAAUUUAGAGUCACAGUUAAACAUUCGACUUAUGUCUUCUCUUUUAAGCAUUUUAAACUACCUCUAUUAUAUUGAUUUUUAGAAGAAUUGUUUUCUAAAGAAAACUGCUUCCUGAUGUUGGCGCAGUGCUGUGUUUAGUCAUUCCUCCCAAUGCCAGUGAUCCCUUAAAUCUGGGUGUUGUCCAUCAUCAUCCCUGCCCGUCUCCGUGCAUCCACAACUGCCACAUCCUGAGAGCUCAGUCCAUCAUAAAUGCAAUUAUAGCCUUUUACCUCCUCCUCACCAGAUACUCUCUACAGGGCAAGUUCAUCAAACUGUGUGCUUAGAAGCUCUGGAGCAGAACUCUCACCCACCAGAAGAUUGCCUCAAGAGAUAAAAGAUGAUUUACAACCCAAAGUAUGCCCACUAGAGGUUUUGGCCAUUUUUACAAUGUAUUCCUGCCCAUGAAGAUGCCAACUUGACUGCCCAAUACAUAAAGCACCAAAGCAAGUAUGCGGACCCCCCCACACCUCCUCACUUCUGCUCCUGUGUAGACCCCCAUCUUUAAAAGCACUUACUUUCUCCUGCAAAAGCAAAUCAGACCCUUACAGCAGGAAGGCUUUUCUUCUUCUCCUAAACUAGCUUUGGAAUAAAAAGUUAUUUUCUUUA